This 465-nucleotide ribosomal RNA is filed under the name uncultured bacterium. RNAcentral describes it as "partial 16S ribosomal RNA". It matches the Rfam family "Bacterial small subunit ribosomal RNA", at positions 338 to 795 of the family's 1533-position model. The record is from RNAcentral.
CCUACGGGAGGCAGCAGUGGGGAAUAUUGCGCAAUGGGCGAAAGCCUGACGCAGCGACGCCGCGUGAAGGAUGAAGGUCUUCGGAUCGUAAACCUCUGUCAGCAGGGAAGAACAGUCACUGUGCUAAUCCGCAGUGAAUUGACUGUACCUGCAAAGGAAGCACCGGCUAACUCCGUCCCACCAGCCGCGGUAAUACGGAGGGUGCGAGCGUUAAUCGGAAUUACUGGGCGUAAAGCGCUCGUAGGCGGUAUGUCAAGUCAAGGGUGAAAUUCCCGGGCUCAACGUUGGAACUGCCUUUGAAACUGGCAGACUGGAGUGUGUGAGAGGAUAGUGGAAUUCCAGGUGUAGGAGUGAAAUGCGUAGAUAUCUGGAGGAACAUCAGUGGCGAAGGCGACUAACUGGCACAUAACUGACGCUGAGGAGCGAAAGCGUGGGUAGCAAACAGGAUUAGAUACCCGAGUAGUC